Molecule: ribosomal RNA, 253 nt
Filed under: uncultured bacterium
Lineage: Bacteria
Description: partial 16S ribosomal RNA
Rfam family: Bacterial small subunit ribosomal RNA
Source: RNAcentral
UACGAAGGGGGCUAGCGUUGCUCGGAAUCACUGGGCGUAAAGGGUGCGUAGGCGGGUCUUUAAGUCAGGGGUGAAAUCCUGGAGCUCAACUCCAGAACUGCCUUUGAUACUGAAGAUCUUGAGUUCGGGAGAGGUGAGUGGAACUGCGAGUGUAGAGGUGAAAUUCGUAGAUAUUCGCAAGAACACCAGUGGCGAAGGCGGCUUUCUGGCCUGUUCUUGACGCUGAGGCGCGAAAGCUAGGGGAGCGAACGGG